AGGCAGCAGUUAGGAAUAUUGGACAAUGGGCGAAAGCCUGAUCCAGCAAUGCCGCGUGAGUGAUGAAGGCCUUAGGGUUGUAAAGCUCUUUUACCCGAGAUGAUAAUGACAGUAUCGGGAGAAUAAGCUCCGGCUAACUCCGUGCCAGCAGCCGCGGUAAUACGGAGGGAGCUAGCGUUGUUCGGAAUUACUGGGCGUAAAGCGCACGUAGGCGGCGAUUUAAGUUAGAGGUGAAAGCCCGGGGCUCAACCCCGGAACUGCCUUUGAGACUGGAUUGCUAGAAUCUUGGAGAGGCGAGUGGAAUUCCGAGUGUAGAGGUGAAAUUCGUAGAUAUUCGGAAGAACACCAGUGGCGAAGGCGGCUCGCUGGACAAGUAUUGACGCUGAGGUGCGAAAGCGUGGGGAGCAAACAGGAUUAGAUACCCUAGUAGUCC
RNAcentral lists this ribosomal RNA (433 nucleotides) under uncultured bacterium. Its description in RNAcentral is "bacterial SSU rRNA". It matches the Rfam family "Bacterial small subunit ribosomal RNA", at positions 346 to 796 of the family's 1533-position model. The record is from RNAcentral.